CGGGUGAGUAACACGUAAGUAAUCUACCUUUGAGUGGGGAAUAACAAGUCGGAAACGACUGCUAAUACCGCAUAAUGCAGCGGCACCGCAAGGUGACAGUUGUUAAAGGAGCAAUUCGCUUGAAGAGGAGCUUGCGGCAGAUUAGCUUGUUGGUAAGGUAACGGCUUACCAAGGCUACGAUCUGUAACCGGUCUAAGAGGACGGUCGGUCACACUGACACUGAAUAACGGGUCAG
RNAcentral lists this ribosomal RNA (235 nucleotides) under uncultured bacterium. RNAcentral's name for it is "partial 16S ribosomal RNA". It matches the Rfam family "Bacterial small subunit ribosomal RNA", at positions 103 to 334 of the family's 1533-position model. The record is from RNAcentral.